GACGAACACUGGCGGCGUGCCUAAUACAUGCAAGUUGAGCGCUGAAGGUUGGUACUUGUACCAACUGGAUGAGCAGCGAACGGGUGAGUAACGCGUGGGGAAUCUGCCUUUGAGCGGGGGACAACAUUUGGAAACGAAUGCUAAUACCGCAUAAAAACUUUAAACACAAGUUUUAAGUUUGAAAGAUGCAAUUGCAUCACUCAAAGAUGAUCCCGCGUUGUAUUAGCUAGUUGGUGAGGUAAAGGCUCACCAAGGCGAUGAUACAUAGCCGACCUGAGAGGGUGGUCGGCCACAUUGGGACUGAGACACGGCCCAAACUCCUACGGGAGGCAGCAGUAGGGAAUCUUCGGCAAUGGACGAAAGUCUGACCGAGCAACGCCGCGUGAGUGAAGAAGGUUUUCGGAUCGUAAAACUCUGUUGGUAGAGAAGAACGUUGGUGAGAGUGGAAAGCUCAUCAAGUGACGGUAACUACCCAGAAAGGGACGGCUAACUACGUG
Molecule: ribosomal RNA, 497 nt
Filed under: uncultured bacterium
Lineage: Bacteria
Description: partial 16S ribosomal RNA
Rfam family: Bacterial small subunit ribosomal RNA
Source: RNAcentral